This is a long non-coding RNA of Ictalurus furcatus (blue catfish), 1208 nucleotides long. RefSeq lists it as uncharacterized. NCBI's taxonomy places the organism in Eukaryota, Metazoa, Chordata, Actinopteri, Siluriformes, Ictaluridae. The transcript is spliced from 3 exons. The record is from RefSeq and is a predicted model, not a curated record.
UUGGUGAAUUACCGCCACCUACUGGACAGGAGUGUGGCGCAUUGAAAGAAGGUUUUUUUUGUUUGUUUUUUGUUUUUAAAUUAUGGGUUCAGUUAAUGUGUCUAUCGACUUAAAUAUUAAAAUACUGCUCCCCUUCCGUGGCGAACACGCUUUGCAGCCUAACAAAAAACUUCAGAGACGGAGUGUUAGUAGAUGUCAAAAAGUAAUUCAACUUUAUUGAAACAAUAAUGUGAGACAGUCUGCAGAAAGUCUAAAUUAUACAUACACAAACAUGUCUUUAUAUACCUUUCUGAAGCAGUAAAAUUAUCCCUAGGCUUGGCAUUCACCUUUUCUUUCCAGAAACAAAUCUCCAUUGCCUUAACUAAUUAUUCAUAUCCACAUGAUACCUUUUAUAUGUGGCGCAUGCGUUGUCAGUUGUAUUUUCUUUAAAAGUUUUACCAGACCAGGGUUUUUUUACUUUGUCCCAUAAUUCACCCUAUAGUCUCAGCCUGGUACCCUUCCUCCUGGAAAUCUUAUCUUUUCUUUUGACACUGAUUUGCAAGCUUAGAGGGCUUUGUUUGGAAACCCAGUUCUGGAAUGGAUAAAUACUGUCGUUGGACCUGCGUUAAGGAAUCUCACUACCCAAGGUGUUUUACUCUAUAGCACUCGCUUCACUACGCAUUGUUUUCAUACACCCACCAGGCGGCGAUGGCACCAUAGUGCUUGGGCCCGUCCUUGCUGUAUUUUUUUCUUCGUUCUUCAAAAGUGGCGUAGCUAAAUUUCUUCACUAAAUUAAUUAAAUUGUGUUCACCAUAUGUUUGAGGUUUAUCUCAUUUUAUCUAAUAUUAAACGCAAAACAACUCCAGAGGUUCAGCUGCUCAUGUUGUGCAAGAGAGAGAGAGAGAGAGAGAGAGAGAGAGUAUACAUGUUUUCUAAAUUGUAAUACUUCUCUGUAUACAGACUGAAACAAGAAUGAGCAAACAUUCUUGAGGCCAUUAACAAUCUCAUAUGGUGGAAAACUUCAGAGUACAGUUUAAGCAGAACACUGCUAUGAUUGCAGAGCUGUCUAAAAGCAUAGAAUUAAACACAAAAGAGAUAAAAGAGUGCAAGACCACAGUUACUGCACUUGGAAAAGAUGUGACCAACCUUGAGAAGGAAAAUGUCUACUUAAAGGAGAGAGUACAGGGAACUGGAGCAUUACAAACGCCAUUGGAACAAGAUGAAAAUGU